GGCCUCCCAAUGUUUACCACAGGUUGUGUUCUUUACACUGACUAUAGAAAGAGAAGGUACAGUAAAUACACCCUAUUUACACCUCAACCCAGGCCCUUUGCCUGGUCUGUACUGUGAAUGGGGGGACAAAA
Suncus etruscus (white-toothed pygmy shrew) is the source of this 131-nucleotide small nucleolar RNA. RefSeq annotates it as small nucleolar RNA SNORA51. The transcript has a single exon. The record is from RefSeq and is a predicted model, not a curated record. Lineage: Eukaryota; Metazoa; Chordata; Mammalia; Eulipotyphla; Soricidae.